UCCGUGUUUAUUCCACACGUAUCGAGUGCUUCCUUCUCAGUGAGUGUCUGCAACUCUGUGAGUCCCUGUGCUAUGCGCUCUCCCCCCAAAUGACACAGCGUCUAAGAGCACAACGCGGAUUCAAGUAGAAGGGCUUCUUGCAUCCUCCUAAAUUCAAGCCUUGGGUUGUGCCUCAUCUUCACCAGGAAGUCUUUCUGAACACGGACAGGCUUCCCAAAGAUGAACUUCAUUGUUCUGCUUCACUCUCUUCUGGCAAGGUGUCCGGGGCCCCUCCUUGCUGCUCUGAAUUGUUUACUUAAUUUUUCCGAGCUCAUCUGAGGACAAAGAACCAGACCAGACCCUGCAUCCAGCCCCUGACUGCAUAGGAAAAGCUCAGUGGGAGCUUGUAGAUUUGGUUCCCAGAAGCACACAAAAUAAAACAAAGUCCUGAAGACACCUACCCAAAUACA
Long non-coding RNA from Suricata suricatta (meerkat), 449 nucleotides. RefSeq lists it as uncharacterized. Lineage: Eukaryota; Metazoa; Chordata; Mammalia; Carnivora; Herpestidae. The transcript has 2 exons. The record is from RefSeq and is a predicted model, not a curated record.